Nicotiana attenuata is the source of this 2078-nucleotide long non-coding RNA. RefSeq lists it as uncharacterized. Lineage: Eukaryota; Viridiplantae; Streptophyta; Magnoliopsida; Solanales; Solanaceae. The record is from RefSeq and is a predicted model, not a curated record. The transcript has 2 exons.
CUUUUUUUUCUCCGCCAAAACCUUUUAGACUUAUUACCCAAAACCUUUAGACCUUCUAAUUUUUUUUGCCGUCUCUCUCACUCUCUCUCUCUCUAGUAUGCAGGCGGCAGCCUCUCUCUCACCAAAUUGGAGUGUCGUUGCUAGAAAAUUCACGGUGUUCUUUUUCUAAUUCUUCUCCAAUUCUGAUUUUGUGUAACCAUGUAUUUUUGUAUUUCUUAAAUUACAUGUGGGUUUUCACUUUAUUUUUUGUUAUUUUGGGUAUUCUCUGUUGGAUUUGAGGUUUCUCUAUUCAUUUGGAGCUUUUUGGUUGAUUUGGGGUUUCUAUGUUGAUUAUAUGCAAUUUAUUAGCUUGAUUUCUCUGUAAACCUAGAAUUUUCUGGCAUGCACUCUGCUUUAUUGCCUCAAUAUCCUAAUGUAUUUUUGUUUUCUGUUUCUUCUUUCAUGUUCUGUAAUGUAACAAAAAUUUACUAAAAAAUUGAUUUGUCGCUGUGUUUUUCAGUUGUGGUAAGUUUUUUCUCCAUUAUUUCUUUAAUUACUGCACUGGUAUCCCUAAUUUUUAACCUUCAUUUUACUUGAUUCUUACAUGCAUAUUUAUGGCAGAUACCUAGUCACAUAUAUGUAUAAUUUUGGUUUUGUGAUGAUGCUAUGUUCUUUCGAUUGGGGAAUUAUGUGAUUUUAUUGGUUAUUGUACAUAUAAAUUGGAGUUAAGGGUUACAACUUGGCAAUUUGUCUAUUUUCCUAUUUUGUGGUUAUGAUAGGGUUCUAUUUCCCUAGUUAAUAAGGAACUAGGGAAUCAUAUUAAAAAAGUGUUUAUAUGGUGGAUUCUGCAGAUAGACUGCUGUGAGCAUAGCAAAAUACUCAUAAACCUUGUUGUUCAGUAAUGUUUUUGAGGAAGAGAGAACAUGACUUAAGAUCGCAGCAUUUGUUUGUUAUAGAGAAACUGUUGAUGUGUUACUUCAAACAUUUAACCAAACAUAGUUUAGAAAAGUACUUUUUUAAUUUACAAAGCCACAUAUUUUCGUAAUUUGCCCACUUUGUCCAGUGAGUAUCCCAACGUUUCCUAACUUCAACAUAGAUGCAGCAAAGUCUUGGUAGAAAAGAUAAGGGUAGGAGCUGUAGGAUUUGACCAUAUCAGCAGUCUGAGAAUUUGACAUUAAUGCUUGAUCAGAUUCAAGAAGACCUGAAUUGUUCACAAGGUUUAUUCUUAGCUUGAUGCAUUUCAGUAGCUAUCUCUUUUUUGCUUGUCUUGGUGUGCAUUUAGUUAGCUUUUUGCUUGUCUUGGUGUGCAUUUAGUUACUUAUUAAUGUUGUGACAAACAAUAUAUAGGAAAAAAUGGAGCUUGCUUUGAGCCAAAGCACGGUGGAUGAGUCUGAAGUUUCGCCGAAUGAUGCUGUUCGUAAAGUGCUAGGAAAAGGGUAAGGGGCUUAGGAUUAGGAGCUGUCCCUAGCAAAGCUUUUAAACAUGCAAGACCUCGUUUUGGUGGUAUGAAUGCUUCAAGUAGUGAUGCUUCAUGUUUGAACCAUUGUCAAGAGAACUACAAUAAAUUGUUGAAUGCGCACAACCAAAGCCAAGAGAACUACAAACAAAUGAUGAAUGCUUUCAAGGCAUAUAUGAUAAUGAAAGAAGGGACAAUACCGGAGCAAUUUGCGGAGUUCUUUGCUUCUCCUCCUACAACGCCUAGAGAUGCAGCUAGUGGAUCCCUGUCACCCACGAGCGCAAGAAGAUAUCUGAUGACAGUAAUCCAAGUGACAACAAUUGAAGUCUUUUAUAAUUGAAUUAGAUAAUUGAUUAUGACAAUGUGAUUAUGUGAUUGGAGCGGAUGUUAGAAUGGCUAGGGUGAAUGUUUUAUGUUAAAAUUUAGUUUGAAAACUAAGUUCGUUUUGAGCAACUAAAUAUAGAGGCAGAAUGCUAUAUCGGAGAUAGCUCUUCCGACGCUACUGUUUGCAGCCAGAAACAUUGCUGAAUCUGCUUUGAGUUUUUUAGGAAUUUUUGCCAUGGGAGCAUUUUUGUGGCCCCAUCAUUUAUAUAUGAAAGUAAUACUUUUGUGAUGCUAAUUAUGUUGUUGAUACUUCUAAGUG